This 443-nucleotide ribosomal RNA is filed under the name uncultured bacterium. RNAcentral describes it as "partial 16S ribosomal RNA". It matches the Rfam family "Bacterial small subunit ribosomal RNA", at positions 338 to 795 of the family's 1533-position model. The record is from RNAcentral.
CCUACGGGAGGCAGCAGUGGGGAAUAUUGCACAAUGGGCGAAAGGCUGAUGCAGCAACGCAGCGUGAAGGAAGAAGGGUUUCGGCUCGUAAACUUCUAUCAAUAGGGACGAAAGAAAUGAGGAUACCCGAAUAAGAAGCCCAGGCUAACUACGUGCAAGCAGCAGCGGUAAUACGUAGGGGGCAAGCGUUAUCCGGAAUUACUGGUGUUAAAGGGUGAGUAGGCGGAAUGGUAAGCCAGAGGUGAAAGCCUUGGGCUUAACCCGAGGAUUGCAUUUGGAACUAUCAAGCUAGAGUACAGGAACGGAAAGCGGAAUUCCUAGGGUAGCGGUGAAAUGCGUAGAUAUUAGGAAGAACACCAGUGGCGAAGGCGGCUUUCUGGACUGCAACUGACGCUGAGGCACGAAAGCGUGGGGAGCGAACAGGAUUAGAUACCCCGGUAGUC